Long non-coding RNA from Haliotis rubra (blacklip abalone), 617 nucleotides. RefSeq lists it as uncharacterized. The transcript has 3 exons. The record is from RefSeq and is a predicted model, not a curated record. NCBI's taxonomy places the organism in Eukaryota, Metazoa, Mollusca, Gastropoda, Lepetellida, Haliotidae.
CUCGCAACGGAAAUCUGUAUAUAUUCGAGUUUCAACCCGAAGCCGAGAGGUCACAUAGCGGUGGCACUCGAACUAAACACCAUAACAUCAACAGGUUAAUAGUGGAAGUUGAAAGCAAUCUUCAGAAUCUUUUCCCGGUCACUGAAACAAGUUAAAUCUGUUAAAAGAGUUUGCGGAAACAGAAGAUCUCAAGAAGGAAUGUUCCAUUGGCACCUAGGAAACAGGUGAUCUCAAGGAAGAACCCAUGAUGGAACCCUGGAAACUGGUGAUAUCAUGACAGAACCUAUUUUUGGAACCCAGGAAAUAGGUGGUUUUGAAACUCAUGAAAAACAUAGUGGACCAACAAAGCAGCUUCAUACAUGUAGUGAGUGCAUGAAAACAUUUUCGAAAUCAGGUGACUUGAAGAAACAGAUGCUCUGUCAAAGUGGAAUCAAGACUUAUCAGUGUGCUGAAUGUCGGAAAAAAUUCUCACAAUCAGGUCAUCUGCAGAACCACAUGAGGAUUCACAGUGGAAUCAAGCCUUAUCAGUGCAUUGUAUGUGAGAAAACAUUUAUGCAAUCAGGUCAUCUGCAGAGACACAUUAGGAUUCACACGGGAAUCAAGCCUUAUGGUGUUGA